GAUAAAGUGUCCGAUAUUUUAGGUUGUAAAUUGUAAAUUUAUAUAAGAAUUGAUAAUUCCUUUAUCA
Molecule: transfer RNA, 67 nt
Filed under: Potamometra berezowskii
Lineage: Eukaryota; Metazoa; Arthropoda; Insecta; Hemiptera; Gerridae
Also listed under: 3 other names
Description: tRNA-Tyr
Source: RNAcentral